This 254-nucleotide ribosomal RNA is filed under the name uncultured bacterium. RNAcentral describes it as "partial 16S ribosomal RNA". It matches the Rfam family "Bacterial small subunit ribosomal RNA", at positions 524 to 776 of the family's 1533-position model. The record is from RNAcentral.
GACGAACCGUGCGAACGUUGUUCGGAAUCACUGGGCUUAAAGGGCGCGUAGGCGGGCUGCCAAGUCCGUAGGUGAAAUCCCCCGGCUCAACCGGGGAACGGCCUCGGAUACUGGCGGCCUGGAGGGGGGUAGGGGCGUGCGGAACUGUGCGUGGAGCGGUGAAAUGCGUUGAUAUGCACAGGAACUCCGGUGGCGAAGGCGGCGAGCUGGACCCUUUCUGACGCUGAGGCGCGAAAGCCAGGGGAGCGAACGGG